RNAcentral lists this ribosomal RNA (698 nucleotides) under uncultured crenarchaeote. RNAcentral's name for it is "bacterial SSU rRNA". It matches the Rfam family "Archaeal small subunit ribosomal RNA", at positions 698 to 1395 of the family's 1478-position model. The record is from RNAcentral. Lineage: Archaea; Thermoproteati; Thermoproteota.
UGAGGGAUGAAAGCUGGGGGAGCAAACCGGAUUAGAAACCCGGUAGUUCCAGCUUAAACGAUGCAAACUAGGGGAUGCCCUGGCUUGUGGCCAGUGCAGUGCCGCAGGAAGCCGUUAAGUUUGCCGCCUGGGAAGUACGUACGCAAGUAUGAAACUUAAAGGAAUUGGCGGGGGAGCACCCACAAGGGGUGAAGCCUGCGGUUCAAUUGGAGUCAACGCCAGAAAUCUUACCCGAAGAGACAGCAGAAUGAAGGUCAAGCUGGAGACUUUACCAGACAAGCUGAGAAGUGGUGCAUGGCCGUCGCCAGCUCGUGCCGUGAGAUGUCCUGUUAAGUCAGGUAACGAGCGAGAUCCCUGCCUCUAGUUGCCACCAUUACUCUCCGGAGUAGUGGGGCGAAUUAGCGGGACCGCCGUAGUUAAUACGGAGGAAGGAAGGGGCCACGGCAGGUCAGUAUGCCCUGAAACUUUGGGGCCACACGCGGGCUGCAAUGGUAACGACAGUGGGUUCCGAAUCCGAAAGGUGGAGGUAAUCCUCAAACGUUACCACAGUUAUGAUUGAGGGCUGCAACUCGCCCUCAUGAAUAUGGAAUCCCUAGUAACUGCGUGUCAUUAUCGCGCGGUGAAUACGUCCCUGCUCCUUGCACACACCGCCCGUCGUUUCAUUGAAGUUGUCUUUGGUCGACGGUCAUUGCGUCAUG